CCAGCACGGCUCGGCUCCGCACGGCCCGGGGCGGGGCGAGGCGGCCGGGGGGAGCGGCGCUGCGCGGCCCCACGCCCGCUAUAAGAGCAGCGGCAGCGGCUGUGCUCCGCAGUGCAUGGCAGCGCCGGUCCGCGUCCCUAGCUUGGUCUCUGUCCUCUCCCCGCUGCCACCACCCCACUUGACCUUGAAUUUGGCACUCGGGGCCGCCCUGGGAUGAGGCGGAGCGCGCAGGACCCUCGCCCGUAGGAAAGGGAGAGGAGGCCCCCUCCCGCUGUAGGAGCGCAAGAGGAUUUACGGAGCAUCUUUGCCACCUUUGUUGAAGGGCAGGGGAGGGCCGUCAGGAUGAGUACCAGCACUCUCACCUCUUGUCCAACACUGCAACUCAGGAGCUGGAGUCCAAGCCCAGGUAUCCUCUGCGGGCAUUGAGGCCUUCACCCUGCCUUUGUCACCAGACCUGGGGCUUGGUGGUAACGUGGAUGGGUCCUGGCUGGCCCUGGUGAUGCUGGUGGGCAAGGGGACGUGUGAGCUUGGGGGUCUCCUGGGAGCUGCAUGGAGUCUCCUCCAGGUGCCUGGUGAAUCGAGGACUUGCCAAGAGAGGUCAUCUGUGGCUGUCCCAGCUCCUUCCUCCAUGCUUGGGUCUGGUGGCACAAAGGGUACAAUUCAGAAAAUUUCGCUCCUUGGCAGGCGGUUCCUGGCUCAUGUAAGCCAAAAGCACGCACAACAAAGCCGGUGUUGAUUAUGUCCCUUGAAAAGGGGACUUGUUCCCUGGAAAACGCGGCUCUGCUGGGCCCGUUGACCACCCGCUAAUUGGCACUAAUGAGGAGCUGGGAGGUCCUGAUGAAGGCACCGAAGGCUUUUAGCAGGAGACAGCCACGUCUGCCUGCCUGCCACUUCCUGUGCUGGCAGCCCCCCCCUUUCCUUUUGAAGUCUGUUCCUGGGCGUACACAGGAGCCAAGGAGAGCAGGAGUGUGGGAAGGAGGAGGGGAGGAUGAGUCUGUGUGAAACCCCUGUGUACACGCACCCUGGGGAGCUCAUUGUUCUGCCCUGCCACAUCCUCCCCUCCAUGCACACUGUCCCCUGCUGGCACUGAGCCCUUGUGGCCCCCUGGUAGGAAUGCCCCGUGUCCCUGGGGGCUCAGGAUGUGCCCGGGGUUUCCAGCCCCCUGGGAGGGCCCGGCAGGUGGGCUCUGGUGGGCUGAGGCAGAGGGGUCGGGUGCUGCUGCCCUGCUCCAGCUGCUCCUGUAAGACCUGCACUGAUUCCACUGGGGGUUCUCAUCUUCUCCUUGCUAAAGUGUCCAAGCUGUUGCACCCAGUCCUUUCUAUGGGAGGUUUUUCAGGCUGCCAGCCCCUCUGACCACCGCCUCCACCUGGGUGCCCGCUCUUGACCCCAUAACCAGGGGUCCCAAGGCUUUGCCCCCUGCGUUGUGCUCUGCCUGUCAGAGGCUGUCUGCGCUGUGAGGGUGGCUCGGCAGAGGGAGAGCUUCCCUUGGGGAUCUGUUGUUUUCUUAGAACAAACAACCAAGUGGGGUGCUAUUUUCCCAUUCCAGCUGAGAGAGGUUGUAGCUGCUGCUUUUUGACCCUAAACCCUGACAUUUGUUUUUUAAUUAUCUCUGUCUUCAAUGAAGUGUGACCAAGAGAUGAGAGCAGAACAUGCUUUGGCGGUGGACACAGCUUGUGGUUUUGCAGUUUCAGGGCUUAUGUCAAUAUAUUUGUAGCUGCAUUGCUACUUCCUACAUUGACCUUGGGCUAGGGGUCCAGGUGAGCCUCAGGCUGUUUGAGGAAGUGUUUUUGGAGCCCUGCUCCUUUCACAACCAGCCAUGGAGAUGGCCUGCCCUUGUGGGGCUGGCACUGGGCGUUGCUCCAAGAGGGUCCACUUGGUCUUGGCAGCAUGGCCCUGAAACACCUCACAUCAGGGCUGAGGCUGAAUAACCUGGCAUUGUCCCCAGACACCCACCCACAUGUCACCUUAAGAGUGUCCCCAGGUCAGGUUCCUGCCCUGCCUCAGGGCAUGUGAAGGGCUCCCCCAGCCUCCAGGAUGCUGCUUCCCUGUGCCAGGCUGGGAUGUCCCACAGCAUGGCAUGGAGCUGCCAGAGGGAAAUGGCCCAUGGGCUGAUGGGCACCAUCUCGGUGGCACAGCUCAGUGUGUGCCCUGGGUUGCUUCCUUGAAGGUCAUCCCAAGGUGAGCAGCCAAAAGGCAGCUCUCCUCCUCCUCCUCCUCUCCACAGCCCCAGUGCUUUCCCACCCCAUUGCUCCCUCCUGCCCCAGCCUUCCCUCCAGGGUUGUAAGCUUGUCUCCUUCCUUUUUUUUUUUUGCCUUUUCCUCCUUUCCUCUUUCUCUCCUCUCCUCUCCCACCAGCUUUGUUCGCCCUGGCUGUGUAUUGGAGUUGCCAUGGUGACUGCCGGAGCAUCUCCGCAUCCUGCAGCAGGUCCUGUGCCCCGCCCUGGGGGCGGCAGGGCCCACUCCUGCCCCUUAGGGGGACCAGCCACCACGUCCUCCUGGGGGUGGGGGUCUCUGGGGACGUCCCUGUGACACACCCUGGUGUGUGGGGGGAGGAUGGGUCAGGGUGCAGGGUGGUCCUUGCCCACCCGGGAUGGGGCCAUGCAGCACCUUGUGCUGGGAGAGGUGCUGGCAAGGCUGCUGCGUGGCAUGGCAUCAUUAGCCUCCCGUUGCUGGAGCUGUUAAUCUUCGAUAAAUGUUGCUAAUGAGUGAGCAUUACUUAUGGAAAACAGAGGAGCCUGCUGCAGCACAGGCCGUCCCUUUAACAGGCACCUCCGUGUGCCAGCAGAGGGGCAGAAAGCUGUGCAAGUACCAGACUGAGCCCCGUUAACUUUUACGGGACACGUGCACCUUUCUUUUAGGGAAUAAGCUUUCUUUUUCCCACCCUGGGAGCCAUGCUAUUGCUCCUGUUGGUGUUAUGUCACCAUGCAAGUACCUGCAGAGACUUCACCUUGCCUUGGCCGGGCUCAGGACCCUGGGGUGCAAACAUCCCCAGGACUUUGGGCAAAGCGAUGCCUGGAUCCCAGAUCCUUUUUUGGGGCAUGAUGUACAUGGAGGACCAGCGCUGGCAGCGGGGACUUAGCUGCAUGCCCAGCCAGGGAAGGUGCCUCUUCAUGAGCCAUGUUCUGGUGUUGGAGGACAUGAGCAGAGCAAUGGUUUGGAGGCAGACAGUGACCUGUGGUCUCUGGUGCUGCUUGGCAGACAACGAGAUAUCCUUUCAGUAUUUGUCAGAGCUUUUGUGUCCCUUUCAUGAGAUAAUUAGGGUGACGUGUUAUUAGCUGAUUACUGGGGGAAAAAUAUAUUUACUGAGGAUUUAUUCUAGAAACAUUAAUCUUGUGUAUAGUUGCUAAGUCCCCAUAAAUAAUCUGGUUUUGAUAAUCAAUUGCUAUUUUGACCUCCCUUAUAAAUCUCAAUUAAAUGCACACUUAAUUCACAUAAAGU
This is a long non-coding RNA of Cygnus olor (mute swan), 3437 nucleotides long. RefSeq lists it as uncharacterized. The record is from RefSeq and is a predicted model, not a curated record. NCBI's taxonomy places the organism in Eukaryota, Metazoa, Chordata, Aves, Anseriformes, Anatidae. The transcript is spliced from 3 exons.